This is an RNA transcript of Raphanus sativus (radish), 3898 nucleotides long. RefSeq lists it as uncharacterized. The transcript has 2 exons. Lineage: Eukaryota; Viridiplantae; Streptophyta; Magnoliopsida; Brassicales; Brassicaceae. The record is from RefSeq and is a predicted model, not a curated record.
GUUCAAGAGGAUUCUGUCUCUUCUCCUUCUGUUUUUUCAUCCACAGAACCAAUCAUCAGCUUUCAUGCCUCUGAAUUUCUCUAAUCUCAUCAUUAUCAGUAUAUAUUUUAGAGGUAUCAUCCACAUGUGUUUCGUGAAUCCUGAGAACAUAUUGAAUCAACCAAGAGAUUUUGUGUUAGAUUAUUGUAGUUUUGGGCCUAUAAAUCAAUUAUUAGCGUUAAUAGAGAACUGAUUAACCAAAACAGAGAAAGAAACACUUACAACACUCAUCAGCUUUCAUGCCUCUGAAAUUUUAGUUUGAUAUAAAAAGGAGAAUCUAGCUAAAUAUACCUUUCACGUGCCGUUUUCUUGAGCAAAUUAUGAAGCAUGAGUAAUGUCUUCUUAGCUAUAUGGUUUUUUUCAUGACCACCGUUAUUAAUGAAUGUGACUAACUCUUAAAGAUCAGUGUUUCGUGAAUCCUGAGAACAUAUUGAAUCAACCAAGAGAUUUGGUGUUAGAUUAUUGUAGUUUUAAUAGAGAACUGAUUAACCAAAACAGAGAAAGAAACACUUACAAUGCGAACUUCAAAAUGAUUCGAUCCUAUUUUGGUCAAAAUCCAAAUCAAUCAUCAUGUUCCAGAAUUUACAAUGGAUUCAAAAUAACAAGAUAUAACUCAAUAUUUGCUUCUUUGUAUUUUACUCUUUAAAAUCCUUAUAAAUCUAUUCAAAUCCAAAUUCAAAUCAAAUGCUUAAUCAAAUCCUUACUAUUGAAUAACACCUAAUUUUGAAAUCUAUUUUAAAAUCACAGAACCAAUAACAGUGAAUUUGAAUACAAAUUUUAAAAUUAUAGAACCAAUAACACUAGAUUUUGCUUGGAUUUUCAAAUCCAUUAAACUGUAAAAACCAAUAACACCCCCUGAAACAUGAUGAUUGAUUUGGAUUUUGACCAAAUGAUAAUUUUACAUACUCGAAAGGUCAACAAAGAUUAAUGUGUUACUUUUCAUCAAGAUCAUCCUUUAUAAUCUUUUGACUGAUACACAUUGUUGAGUUUUAACAUAUUCUGACCAAAUCAUACUUAUAUACAAGAAGAAGAAAAACAAUCUUUAAAUGUGAUCCGCUGGUUCGUGUUUUAAUAAGCUAAACGUGGUAAUUUUCAUUUUUACUAUAAUCAAGAUUCACAUAUCGGCAGGCCUACCUCACAACACAUUAAAACACAUGCCCAAAUUAGAUAAAGUCCACGACCACAAGAAUUAUUAAGACGGCAACCUUCUAGGUCAGAAGGAGAGUUCAGCGGUCCUGGUUAGUAGUGACUACAUGUGUAUAUUAAAUGUGCAGCUCAAACGGGAGAAAUAGUUUGGUCACUGCAUAUUGUUAACGAGAUACCGUUGCAGCUUCAUGAUGGUGUCAAAGUAGUUAUGUGCGAUACUCUAGCUCCUCAUUCAACCUCCCAUUGAAUCUAUAAGUUGCCAUGAAGGUAUCUUCCAAUAACACAAUUUAAAAACUGCUGAUUAAGAUCAUAUUCACACGAUGACAACUCUUCCGAACUUUGUUUUUUCACUUCUUAUUGUGUCAUCUUAUUAAAUUGAGUUUGUUCUAGAAUAUGUAACUUUUAGAAACAGAGGGAAUAUUUUUUAGAUGUUGUUAGAACUCAGUUAUGAUGGAUUUUAAUAGAAUUCAGUAUAUCUUUUUAACUAAAACAAUUCCUACCUUUUUAUCAAUAUUUUUGAAGGAUAUCGAGAAUGGAUAUAUUUUCCAUCAAAGUAAUUGCAUACUUAAAUUCCACUACUUGAUUCAAAUUCCAAUUUUCAAUAACACUUCCUACAUGUGUAGCUCAAACGGGAGAAAUAGUUUGGUGACUUGUACAGUUGCACUAUAUGUGUACGUCAAUAUUUUGGUGUGUACACACAUACAUGCACAUAUAUAUGUAUAAGGCUAUGAAGCAGUGUCAAGGAGUCUUGAGUUGACCUUAAUACAGUUUAAUAAGAUUAUGAAAUUUCUGAUGACUUUCAUAAACAACCUGCCCGCGAUUGUAUUACGUAGUAGAUUAUGUUAUCUUGAGGUUUUUUAUUGAACUGCGCCAUAAUUUUUGACACAUACGGAAUGAUUUGAAUCAUUAAACCCAUCAUUAUUUAUUCCUAAUAAUAUUAAGUUAAGAGGAGCUAGGGUCCAUUUUCUAUAGAACUUAGUUCUAUGGUUUUAUUAUCCCUACUUAUGAUGAAUAUAUAGUUGCUGACAUAAAGGAUCUUAUUAGAAAAUCGUAAUUGUUUAACUUCUUAUGGAUCACAUAAUAAACUAAAAAGUAUCUAAUGGACAGAGAUUGAGGGGAUGAUUGGUAAUAUAUGUGAGUGCUCCACACAGCCAUAAAUUUCUCUAAAGUAAUAAAACCAAAAUAAUCAAGCUUUAUUAAUAAAAUCCAAAGUUACAGCCCAAAAUUUUUAAAAGGAAAUAUAUUGACUAUAGAAAUUAAAUUUUCUACAGCUUUUAUCAAAUGCUUUAAAAAAUAUUCAAAGUCAAAAAAAUAAAACCAAAACAAAAAUCUUACAGUCUAUUUUUCAAAACAAAAAAUCUAAAGCUACAAGCAACAACCAAUCAACCCCUAAAUCACUUGAAGAAACUUUGCCUUACAUAACGUUCUAUCACUAGGCGAUGCCCACUAUUUACAUUCUAUGUACCUACCUAUCAAAUCUAUUCUAAACCAAAUUAACAUUUAAAGAUAUAAUUUAUAUUUUCAAGAACUAUAGGUAAUUAGUACAUGAGAAUGACUUUUACUAAUAUCAACAUGUAAGAACUUAUUAAAGUUAAUUACUAAUUAGGAGAUAUACACUAAGCGUAGACGCUUAACUUUAAUUUACUUUCUUAUUUUUAUAUCUAGUUUAUAAAAAAUAUGUAUGAUCAUACCAACAGUAUAAAUUAAAAAAGAACGAUCAUCUAACCAAAUUUGAAAAAAAAGAGUCUAACAACACCAUUAAUUAGGACAUAUAUAAAACCUAUUAUAUAAUGCGUGAUGAGUAUAGUGAAGAGCCAGAUUUCUCUCCAAAUAAUCUCGAUAAGAAGUAUUAUCCGUAAAAAAAAAAAAAGAGUUCCCACUCGAUUUUUUUGGUUUAACGCCACGUGUGCAUAAUAUCUAAUCGAACAGCUCUCUUGUCUGAAAGCAAUGGGCAAAUCUGUGGAACCCAAAGACUCUGACACGAAACUAUGGGUCCUAAAACAGCGUCGUUUAGCGGAAGCUUGCGUACUAAAACACAGAAAAAAAAACGAAAACUGCAAGGAUUCAAAAAAGCUCUUAAUCAGAAGCAAACAAAAACCACCUCUGACAGUUGAAUUUUUUUUAGAUAAAAAAGCCUCUAUCUUCUUUGUUUUUGGUUACUGUUUUCACGAGAGUGUCUUCUCUAUUCGCUGUUACUCUUUCCUUUCCUUCUGAGUUAUGGUGUGAAAUGAUGGCAGCAGCAGAAGCAAGAGCAGUGUGGCAAAGAACAGCCAACCGUUACUUUGUCCAAGAAGACUCUAAAAGAGCUCCCAAGCUAACAACCUCUUCCCACUCUUCUUCAUCAUCAACGAAACAGGUUCAAGAAGAUCCUGUCUCUUCUCCUCCUCCUGUUGUUCGUCCACAGAACCAACCAUCUUCUCCAGGUUUCAUGCCUCUGAAUAUUCCUCUUCUGUUGGGUCAUCACAUUCAAGAAGAUUUGCUCCUGGGAUGGACUGUUGGAUGGAUGUAGUUGAUAUCUUUGUAGUUCAAAGCGAAGAGGAGAAUAGAGAGAGACCUGGAAAGUUUUGUUUUUUUUUCUUUGAAAAAUGUAACUCUUCUUGAAAUGAGUUUUUUAAGAUUUACUUGUAUUGUAAUGCUGCAGCUUAUGGAUUUGGUUAAAUGAGAGAAUGUAAUUUGUUGUAAGAAUUUUGUUAAAUAUUGUGUGUUUAUAAUA